RNAcentral lists this long non-coding RNA (703 nucleotides) under Lepisosteus oculatus (spotted gar). RNAcentral describes it as "lncRNA (ENSLOCG00000021776.1)". The record is from RNAcentral. Lineage: Eukaryota; Metazoa; Chordata; Actinopteri; Semionotiformes; Lepisosteidae.
GGUGAGUCUGGUAGACCAGUUACUGCUGGUACCAUCUCCCAGGAGGUACAGCGUGACCAAUGAUGAGUGAAGCUCCUGACCAGGUGCUACCAAGACUGCACGGGCCAGGGAGUCCUUGUCCCAUAGUGCACUGGGUGUGUCCCAUAGCGCACUGGACCCAGACACUGGCACAGCGGUCUAAGCAUCAUUCCUCCAGUGGGCACUGACACUAAUGAGCUAGCAGUCUGAAAAAACAGCAGAAGACUCUUUGAAGACAUUCUUUAUUCCAGUGCAGAAUCCUCCAUCUGUUCCUCGAAUCGCAACACUCCGUGCAAGCAGUUAUCGGAGUCCUGGGUCAGUGAUGUGAAUCCCUGGCCACUCUUUACAGCCUCUGGAUGCUCAAAUCUCUCGGUCGCCUGUGCCAAAACCAUAGGGAAGUCUGCUCUGGCCCAUGUUCACACAUUUGAUGGACAAUUCUGCCAGUUUUCCGACAGGAGGAAAAACAAUCAGCCCCAGUAAGACUUAUGAGUUGCUCCGACUACUGCCCUUUCAAAGUCCGGUUGAGGAACAGGGAAAACAGAAAGUGAGGUCAGAGCAUCUCACCACGGUCACCAUCGAGGUGACCCCGCCCCAUUUCUGAGGCAGAGGGUACUUGCUCUGCAGGAGGAUGAAAAACAGCCUCAGUGGAAGAGGCAGGCUGCUCGACGACAGAGCGGAUGUAGAG